RNAcentral lists this transfer RNA (68 nucleotides) under Pelecinus polyturator. RNAcentral describes it as "tRNA-Gly". Lineage: Eukaryota; Metazoa; Arthropoda; Insecta; Hymenoptera; Pelecinidae. The record is from RNAcentral.
UUUUAUAUAGUAUAUUCAUUAUUACAUUUAAUUUCCACUUAAAAAAUUUAUAACUUAUAAUAUAAAAA